UUUAUGGAGAGUUUGAUCCUGGCUCAGGAUGAACGCUGGCGGCGUGCCUAAUACAUGCAAGUCGAGCGAACGGACGAGAAGCUUGCUUCUCUGAUGUUAGCGGCGGACGGGUGAGUAACACGUGGAUAACCUACCUAUAAGACUGGGAUAACUUCGGGAAACCGGAGCUAAUACCGGAUAAUAUUUUGAACCGCAUGGUUCAAAAGUGAAAGACGGUCUUGCUGUCACUUAUAGAUGGAUCCGCGCUGCAUUAGCUAGUUGGUAAGGUAACGGCUUACCAAGGCAACGAUGCAUAGCCGACCUGAGAGGGUGAUCGGCCACACUGGAACUGAGACACGGUCCAGACUCCUACGGGAGGCAGCAGUAGGGAAUCUUCCGCAAUGGGCGAAAGCCUGACGGAGCAACGCCGCGUGAGUGAUGAAGGUCUUCGGAUCGUAAAACUCUGUUAUUAGGGAAGAACAUAUGUGUAAGUAACUGUGCACAUCUUGACGGUACCUAAUCAGAAAGCCACGGCUAACUACGUGCCAGCAGCCGCGGUAAUACGUAGGUGGCAAGCGUUAUCCGGAAUUAUUGGGCGUAAAGCGCGCGUAGGCGGUUUUUUAAGUCUGAUGUGAAAGCCCACGGCUCAACCGUGGAGGGUCAUUGGAAACUGGAAAACUUGAGUGCAGAAGAGGAAAGUGGAAUUCCAUGUGUAGCGGUGAAAUGCGCAGAGAUAUGGAGGAACACCAGUGGCGAAGGCGACUUUCUGGUCUGUAACUGACGCUGAUGUGCGAAAGCGUGGGGAUCAAACAGGAUUAGAUACCCUGGUAGUCCACGCCGUAAACGAUGAGUGCUAAGUGUUAGGGGGUUUCCGCCCCUUAGUGCUGCAGCUAACGCAUUAAGCACUCCGCCUGGGGAGUACGACCGCAAGGUUGAAACUCAAAGGAAUUGACGGGGACCCGCACAAGCGGUGGAGCAUGUGGUUUAAUUCGAAGCAACGCGAAGAACCUUACCAAAUCUUGACAUCCUUUGACAACUCUAGAGAUAGAGCUUUCCCCUUCGGGGGACAAAGUGACAGGUGGUGCAUGGUUGUCGUCAGCUCGUGUCGUGAGAUGUUGGGUUAAGUCCCGCAACGAGCGCAACCCUUAAGCUUAGUUGCCAUCAUUAAGUUGGGCACUCUAAGUUGACUGCCGGUGACAAACCGGAGGAAGGUGGGGAUGACGUCAAAUCAUCAUGCCCUUAUGAUUUGGGCUACACACGUGCUACAAUGGACAAUACAAAGGGCAGCGAAACCGCGAGGUCAAGCAAAUCCCAUAAAGUUGUUCUCAGUUCGGAUUGUAGUCUGCAACUCGACUACAUGAAGCUGGAAUCGCUAGUAAUCGUAGAUCAGCAUGCUACGGUGAAUACGUUCCCGGGUCUUGUACACACCGCCCGUCACACCACGAGAGUUUGUAACACCCGAAGCCGGUGGAGUAACCUUUUAGGAGCUAGCCGUCGAAGGUGGGACAAAUGAUUGGGGUGAAGUCGUAACAAGGUAGCCGUAUCGGAAGGUGCGGCUGGAUCACCUCCUUU
RNAcentral lists this ribosomal RNA (1551 nucleotides) under Staphylococcus aureus. RNAcentral describes it as "16S ribosomal RNA". It matches the Rfam family "Bacterial small subunit ribosomal RNA". The record is from RNAcentral. Lineage: Bacteria; Bacillati; Bacillota; Bacilli; Caryophanales; Staphylococcaceae.